CCAGAGAACUUAGCAGAAGAUGCUUUGGUGCCUUCGGGAACUCUGAGACAGGUGCUGCAUGGCUGUCGUCAGCUCGUGUUGUGAAAUGUUGGGUUAAGUCCCGCAACGAGCGCAACCCUUAUCCUUUGUUGCCAGCGGCUCGGCCGGGAACUCAAAGGAGACUGCCGGUGAUAAACCGGAGGAAGGUGGGGAUGACGUCAAGUCAUCAUGGCCCUUACGGCCAGGGCUACACACGUGCUACAAUGGCGCAUACAAAGAGAAGCGACCUCGCGAGAGCAAGCGGACCUCAUAAAGUGCGUCGUAGUCCGGAUUGGAGUCUGCAACUCGACUCCAUGAAGUCGGAAUCGCUAGUAAUCGUAGAUCAGAAUGCUACGGUGAAUACGUUCCCGGGCCUUGUACACACCGCCCGUCACACCAUGGGAGUGGGUUGCAAAAGAAGUAGGUAGCUUAACCUUCGGGAGGGCGCUUACCACUUUGUGAUUCAUGACUGGGGUGAAGUCGUAACAAGGUAGGCGUAGCGAG
Molecule: ribosomal RNA, 522 nt
Filed under: uncultured bacterium
Lineage: Bacteria
Description: bacterial SSU rRNA
Rfam family: Bacterial small subunit ribosomal RNA
Source: RNAcentral